Molecule: long non-coding RNA, 6299 nt
Filed under: Paramuricea clavata
Lineage: Eukaryota; Metazoa; Cnidaria; Anthozoa; Malacalcyonacea; Plexauridae
Rfam family: tRNA (bases 1639-1711)
Source: RNAcentral
GUACGAGAUUGGCCAUGGCAGCCAUCAUAGAGGCAGCCAUGCAGUAUAAAGAUGAGAAGUGAGAACAAUAUAAAUGUGGUGAGAAAUUUUGUUUUAAAGAAAGAAAACCUUGAAUAAAACACGAUGUAUUUGUGGAAAUAGUAAAGGUCAGUAUGUUAUGUAUAAUAUGAAAUAUAUUAGUAAAAUCUACUUUGAUUAUCUAGUUAGUUUUAACCUCAUUAACUUGAAUAUGUCGAAAUUUAUCUUAUGCUCAUAGACAUAGGAUUUCAAUCGUUUGUAAUCAUAUGACAUAAAAAUUGCCUUACAAAAUGAACGGUUUGUUAUUAUAUUUAAAAACCAGCCAGGCACUUAGGCCAAUGACCAGCUAAAACAUUCACAAUAUAAAUUCACAUCACAAGCACUAAAAGCAGGCUCGACUUCAAAGUUUCAAACCAUUAACAUUUUACGCUUGGAGGUUAAUAUGCCAAUGAGCCUGCCACAUGCAAUGCUAGAAUGGAGACUAUAAAACUAUAAAGAAUUAAAGUCUAUGCAUGUUGAAGAUUUUACACAAGGUAAAAUUGGGCUGCAGAAACCAGAGUUCCUUAAUUUUUUUGUCAGAGAUACCCAUCGUAACAGCCAGGGAUUCCAAUGUGGGAUUCUGGAAAGUAUGUCACCUUGGCCAUUAAGAGCCUUGUUUUUGUAUGCAUCCAGUUUCUCUGCCUUCCUGUCUUACAACACUACAAAUAUCAAAUGUUAAAACAUCUGCUAAUCUUUGUCUUUUCCAACUUCUCCACAAUUUCACCAACUUCAUAUGUCAGUCAUUUUUUUGUCCAGGUAUGUAAUAGGCUUAGGGUGUAUCUGGUCGUUUCAUCCCCCUUGCCGUUUUGUCCUCUUUAGGUUUCAUUCCCUUUACAUUUCGUCCCCCACAAUAGAUACCAUUUUCUCUAUAAACUAUUUAUCCUACUUUUUCAUAACAUAUAUUUAUUUUUGUUUCUACUUUGAUCACUCAUAAUUUUGUCAUCAUGAUUUCAGUUUUGUCAUUUAUACUUUCAAUAUACUUUCAUUUAUAUAUACACUGCAUGACUCAGUGACUGCAAGCUUUUUGACUGUGUUAUGGAUGCAACACUUUCUUGUAUUGAGGAUAAUUCUGUUUUAUGAGAUUGUAUCUCAGUGGAUUGUAUGCCUGGAUUAUACACAUGGGACUGUUUCAUUUCCUUUUUGGUCAUCGUAUUGUUUAUAAUAGUGGCAUGAUGACAAAAUUAUGAGUGAUCAAAGUAGAAACAAAUAUAAUUAUGUAGAAACAAAUAUAAUUAUAACAAAUAUUAUAUAUGCCUGGCCACGGUGGGAAUCAAACCUACAACCUUUGGAAUACUAGCCCAAUGCUCUGCCAACUGAACUAUGCGAUCAGGUCGGUUUGAGUAUGUGAUGUUGGCAGAGCAUUGGGCUAGUAUUCCAAAGGUUGUAGGUUCGAUUCCCACCGUGGCCAGGCAUAUUUUUCGAGCCUGCCCGGGGUGGAUACACACUCAGAGUAACAUCACAAACAUCAUAUUCACCUGAGUACAUUACACCAACACAGAAGAAAUCAUGAUUACUCGAUUGCAUUGAUAUCGAAGGAACUUAGACUCAUUUCCGAUUAAUAUCACAUACUUGAACUGACCUGAUCAUGUAACUCAGUUGGCAGAGCACUGGGCUAGUAUCCCAAAUAUCGUAGGUUCGAUUCCCAUAGUGGCCAGGCAUAUUUUUCAAGCUUGCCCAGUGCGGACACACACUCAGAUUAACAUUACAAACAUCAUAUUCACCUAAGUACAUAACACCAACACAGAAAAAUUCAAAUAUAAAUAUAUCUGACUUGUGUAUAGUGUAUAUAUAGUUCAUGAAAAAGUAAUAUAAAGUAAGUUUAUAGACAAAACGGUAUCUAGUGUGGGGACAAAACUUAAAGGGGACAAAAUAGAGAGGGGACGAAACGGGGGGGGGGGGCAAACGAGGAGGGCACAAAACAGCAAGGGGAGGGCAUGAAACGACCAUAAAACAGGUCCCCACGUCACUGUUUCACUCAACUGACACAAGUGCACCUCUGGGAUUAGCACUGAGAUCAGGUGUGCUAUAUUUUGAAAGAGAAUUUGCCCUCAGGUGCGCUUGUGCCUAGCGUGAGGCGGUUUCUACAAAAAAACAGAAAACCAACCAAAAAAAACUGAGUGUUUUUAAACCAGUUUUUAAAAAAAAUACAUUCAAAAAUCGAAACUAUGGGGAAAACACUCUACUCAGUACUCACACAAGAUAUUAAACAUAAGGUAUUUUGAAGACAUUAUCAAAUUUCACAGGGAGCCCAAGCGUUGAUCUGUUAGCAUUGGUAUGUUUUUCAGUUGAUUUAUUUUAGUGUCUUUAUAUUGCCUUUUAAUUGAAUUAUAUGUUCACUAAAUUACACUAAUAUGUCAUAUAAUAAUAAUACUCCUAUAGUCUAACAUAUAAUAACAACAUAUACGUUAAUGAUUUGUAUUUGUAUGUUUUUCAGUUUAUUUAUCAAGAUCUAUUAUUAGCUUAUAUAAAAGCACUGCCUUUUGAACCUGACAGCCUGUUCACAGGAUACGCGCGCGGAAGAGGCGGCAAGAUAUAAAUAGUGAUAAGGGAUGAAACUCUUAAAGUUUAUCAUAUUAUGAAUGCCCCGACUUGAGUGGACCGAGCAAUGAGUGACAUGUCAAAUGAACGCCGUCAAUCUUUAGGAAUCAAUGAUAUAAACAAGGAAACAAACUCGAGGGGAGUCAAUUUGUGUCGACCAUAAAGGUUUCAAUGUUUAAAAUUUAAAAUUAGUUAACUACAUUAGGUCCAGUCAAGUCAGGGCAUUCAUGCUACGAAACGUCGCUAUUAAAAACUAUAGCAAUUUAUAAGACGCUAGGGCUUUUAUUUCACAAAAUUUUUCAUACUAGGGGGUCAACUUUUUGCAAUAGGCACUUCUUUAAAUGUCAUUGUCGAUUUUUUUGCUGUUUGAAGCUUAUGCUAUUGUUUAGCGGCAAAAUGCAUAUAAAAUUAUGAUGCUCAAAAACAAUGGAUAAUUCAAUUUUGUGUUAACAAAAACAAAAGCGUGUGCAGCGAAUAAAUUUCACUCACUUAGCGAAUAAAUUUUUACAUUGUCAUUGGCGUGUUAAUUUAAAAAUUAAACCACCUUGCAAUUCCAUUCACAAAUGUAAAUAAUCAUGUAAAUAUUUUCUCUACAAAAUGUGCUCUCAGAAUGCUGUAAGUGCCAUUUCCGGGAUUCAAAUUUUAAAAUUUUCCCAGAGUAUUUUCGUAAAGUGUUCACCACUGGCCGAAUUUCAAGCUAAAAUUCGUUUUAACAAGCACAUACAGCUUCAAAAUAAAACAUUGCCGAAUUGUAAUUUCAUCCCUUGUCGCUUUUCCUAUUUUCAGUGGGAAAUAACAUGCGUAUCCUGCGAACGGGCUGUCAGGUUCAGUUCGAAAGGCGGUGCUUUUAUAUAAGCUAAUAAUAGAUCAUAAAUAAACUGAAAAACAUACAAAUCAACUUAUAUGUUGUUAUUAUAUGUUCGACAAUAGGAGUAUUAUUAUUUAGUGUAAUGUAGUGUUAUAAUUCAGUUAAAAGGCAAUAUGAAGACACUAAAAUAAAUAAACUGAAAAAGAUACAACACAGACACAGAUCAAUGCUUGGGCUCUCUGUGCAAAUUUCAAACAAAAUCGCUUUAGUUUUUCAUAUGUAAAUGCCAUUAAAAAAUCAUUAAUAAUUCAUGAAGAAAACACAAAGAAAAAUCAUAAGCGUGUCGUAUCUGUAUAUGUCAUACAGAUUCAUGUUGAUUUACAUAAACUUUAACUUUGAUUUUAACUUUGAUUUUAACAUUGUAUAUCCGAUACAACACUGCCGCUCAUGUUGUAAAUAGUACAAACUUGAUUCAUUUGCAACAAACUCGUAUAAGGAUGGUUUGAUUUUAGUAAAAUACUGAUUUUUCUUAUGUUUUUUUUUUCAUUUUUCCCUGGUUUUCUCAGUUUUUCUCCAAAAGUAACAUCGAGUAUUUCGGUUUUCAAAAAACAUCGGGGUUUUUCGGUUUAAAACCGCCUCACCCUACUUGUGCCACGUUCUGCAAACUGGGAUGCAUGACGUUAGGAAUCCAAUGGUGCAAUCAUGAAAACAAGACUCUAACAAGGCCCACUUCUAAUGUGAACCAUUAGAACCAUUUAUCCCAGUAUCUUCAUGGUGACAGGAAAAGUGAAUUUCAUCCCGGACUGGUAGAUAUAAAUCAGUUUUAGAUGCAUUGCAGUGCAGGCCAACAUGAUCAGCCAAAAUAUAUCAUGCUUAUUUAAUUAAAACAAGUAUGAAGUCAAAUAUUAGUCUAUAGUCCAACAAAAACUGAUUUAAAAUGUCCGAACACUCUUUGUCUUGGAUAAACAUUUGAUUUACACUGCAAAAUUUAUUUGCAGGUUAAAUUAACCAGACCAUGUUUGGCGAAGUGGUUAGCGCACUUGCCUUUCACCCCUAAGGUUGCAGGUUCUAGUCCCAGUGAGAACUUUCUCGACUCGAACUCAGUCCUCAUGUGAAAAGAGUAAAAGCCAACACUCUGCCGCAAGUUGUGGGUUUCCCCUGGGUACUCUGGUUUCCUCCCACGGGGAAAGCCGACAGGGUGGGUUAGGUAAAAGGGCCCACAAUUGGCAUAUGCCGUUGUGAUGACUCUGCCCCACUGCCCUGCCCUAGUUGGCAAAGCUAAAUAAAUAAAAAACCUUGAUUAUUUCAACAAGACCUAAGGCAGUUUAUCUUGUAAGGAACUAUUAGUUCUGUAUAACCUGUCCUAAUUAUACUAUUUUUGUAAUUUCAAAAAUGUAUAAUUAAAUUGAGUAAAUAAAUAAAAGUACAAUAACCAGAAAAUAUAACCAGAAAUAUUAAGUUAUGGUACCCGAAGGUCAAAAUAGUGUUAUGUCUCUAGUUAACUAGGAAAUUUUAACCAGAUUGUUUUUAGAGUGUGCACAGAACUGUUGAGAUAUUCUAUAUUAACCAUAGUUUUAAGAACUAUUUAGAAAACUUACCUGGUAUGUUGUUUGGCUUUGCUUUAAAUGAGGUUCCCUUUAUAUUUGAUAAUCCUAAAGAUAUAAGAAUAUACACUUGUACUCUUUCAAUGUUUUUGAAAUAGAUACAGUACUGUAGAUUUGGACAAAGGCAAUUGAUCAGUGACUUUUAAAGUUUAUACUUUACAAUAAACAUAUAUGUAUUAACGGGUAUAAGGUAUAAAGGUAUAAACUACAGGUAUAAAGCAAACACUCUUUGCUACCACGACACUUAUCUCUAGAAGUAAACGAUUUGGUACAGUACUUAAUUAAUUUACGAGUAUAAAUUAAGAUGGAAAUGUUAACGAAGGAAAGGGCAACAUGGACGAUCGUGCUCAAUAGGAUAACUGUUUGUACACGAUUUCAUUUUGGUGAAGAUCACCUUGAGUUAAGUUUAUGCACAAAACUAUGCAGAAAAUUACAGGUUUCAAACUCUUACCGUAUUAUUUCUUCUCUCAAGAAUUGUGGCAAACUACAGUGUAUAGAAAUCAUGUGUUCAGAAUAAUGUAGUGCAUAAAGUUCCGGGGGGGGGGGGGGGGGGAGCAGAGGCCAUUUGCGUGGGUUAAGAAACCAAAUUAUGUUAUUAAGGAGGUCGAAAGAUUUUGUGAUAAUAACAGGUGUACCAGACCAAAUUUCACAGUUUCGAUACAUCUCUGUAUUAUAUUAAAUAUGAUAUAACAUCAUACGAUAGCUACUUUUCCCCAGUGGUAAUAACUUGUUGAAAUGUAUGCACUGUAAAGGGUAUGCACUGUAAUAUAUAAUGUAUACAAAUGUGGGACCAAAUGCUCCCCCCCCCCCCUCCCCCCCAGCACAAUAAGUGUUAAACAUGUAAUAUUGUACGUUUGCGUGAACGAAAAACAGUUAAUUAAUCCAAAAGAGUGAAAGGUUGCCGAAAUAUUAGGUCCUACCCAACGUAAAAUACAACCUUCUAGAAAUGUUUUGCAAAAAAUGUAAUUUGCGUAAUGUAAUAGCCAGAAUGAAGCUACAGUAACAAAUUUUUCUGAUACAAUUAAGUAAAUUGUCUUAUACGUUACAGAUCUUUAACUACUUACUGUAUUGCAAACUUUUUUUGUCUACUUUUAGUACUUACAGAUCUAAACGGCUGGAUAGUGUAAAUAGAUGGACUUCAAGAAAUCCUCCGAGACUUUAACUCAAAUGCAGAUAGAGGGCAAAAAAGGACUUUUUAUUUUUUUAUUUUACAAGUUUUGCCGUUAAAAUUGCAGGGGCGGAUCAAUACUCAUCUGACAGGAGGGGUGCAGAUUUCCGGAGGGGGGGGGGGG